Molecule: ribosomal RNA, 945 nt
Filed under: Dyella koreensis
Lineage: Bacteria; Pseudomonadati; Pseudomonadota; Gammaproteobacteria; Lysobacterales; Rhodanobacteraceae
Description: bacterial SSU rRNA
Rfam family: Bacterial small subunit ribosomal RNA
Source: RNAcentral
GUGGCGGACGGGUGAGUAACACGUGGGAACGUGCCCUUUGGUUCGGAACAACUCAGGGAAACUUGAGCUAAUACCGAAUGUGCCCUUCGGGGGAAAGAUUUAUCGCCAUUGGAGCGGCCCGCGUCUGAUUAGCUAGUUGGUGAGGUAAUGGCUCACCAAGGCGACGAUCAAUAGCUGGUCUGAGAGGAUGAUCAGCCACACUGAGACUGAGACACGGCCCAGACUCCUACGGGAGGCAGCAGUGGGGAAUAUUGGACAAUGGGCGCAAGCCUGAUCCAGCAAUGCCGCGUGUGUGAAGAAGGCCUUCGGGUUGUAAAGCACUUUUAUCAGGAGCGAAAUACCACGGGUUAAUACCCUAUGGGGCUGACGGUACCUGAGGAAUAAGCACCGGCUAACUUCGUGCCAGCAGCCGCGGUAAUACGAAGGGUGCAAGCGUUAAUCGGAAUUACUGGGCGUAAAGGGUGCGUAGGCGGUUCGUUAAGUCUGUUGUGAAAUCCCCGGGCUCAACCUGGGAAUGGCAAUGGAUACUGGCGAGCUAGAGUGUGAUAGAGGAUGGUGGAAUUCCCGGUGUAGCGGUGAAAUGCGUAGAGAUCGGAAGGAACAUCAGUGGCGAAGGCGGCCAUCUGGGACAACACUGACGCUGAAGCACGAAAGCGUGGGGAGCAAACAGGAUUAGAUACCCUGGUAGUCCACGCCCUAAACGAUGCGAGCUGGAUGUUGGUCUCAACUCGGAGAUCAGUGUCGAAGCUAACGCGUUAAGUUCGCCGCCUGGGGAGUACGGUCGCAAGACUGAAACUCAAAGGAAUUGACGGGGGCCCGCACAAGCGGUGGAGUAUGUGGUUUAAUUCGAUGCAACGCGAAGAACCUUACCUGGCCUUGACAUGUCUGGAAUCCUGCAGAGAUGCGGGAGUGCCUUCGGGAAUCAGAACACAGGUGCUGCAUGAC